AGAUAAGAUUCCAAGAGGCAAAAGUACUAGAUCUGGUAUUGGGAGUAUGUCAUACAGAUUACAUAAAAGAGAAGCACAGUGUUUCAGCGUAAGGGUACAAGGAACCAAUCUAAAAGUAAUAACUUUGGCAAGAUAGCCUGAUCGAGGGAAGACGGUGGCAGUUUCUAUGAUGAUGUGAUUGAAUUCAAGAUGGUUGAGCCCUCAGUGGAGGAGACUGCAUAGUGGUUGAAAUCAA
Telopea speciosissima is the source of this 235-nucleotide long non-coding RNA. RefSeq lists it as uncharacterized. The record is from RefSeq and is a predicted model, not a curated record. The transcript is spliced from 2 exons. Lineage: Eukaryota; Viridiplantae; Streptophyta; Magnoliopsida; Proteales; Proteaceae.